GAUGAACGCUGGCGGCGUGCCUAAUACAUGCAAGUCGAGCGAACAGACGAGGAGCUUGCUCCUCUGACGUUAGCGGCGGACGGGUGAGUAACACGUGGAUAACCUACCUAUAAGACUGGGAUAACUUCGGGAAACCGGAGCUAAUACCGGAUAAUAUAUUGAACCGCAUGGUUCAAUAGUGAAAGACGGUUUUGCUGUCACUUAUAGAUGGAUCCGCGCCGCAUUAGCUAGUUGGUAAGGUAACGGCUUACCAAGGCAACGAUGCGUAGCCGACCUGAAAGGGUGAUCGGCCACACUGGAGCUGAGACGCGGUCCAGCCUCCGACGGGAGGCAGCAGUAGGGAAUCUUCCGCAAGGGGCGGAAGCCUGACGGAGCAACGCCGCGUGAGUGAUGAAGGUCUUCGGCUCGUAAAACUCUGUUAUUAGGGAAGAACAAAUGUGUAAGUAACGAUGCGCGUCUUGACGGUACCUAAUCAGAAAGCCACGGUUAACUACGU
RNAcentral lists this ribosomal RNA (496 nucleotides) under uncultured bacterium. RNAcentral describes it as "partial 16S ribosomal RNA". It matches the Rfam family "Bacterial small subunit ribosomal RNA", at positions 28 to 506 of the family's 1533-position model. The record is from RNAcentral.